RNAcentral lists this ribosomal RNA (698 nucleotides) under Bacillus sp. JC26. RNAcentral's name for it is "bacterial SSU rRNA". It matches the Rfam family "Bacterial small subunit ribosomal RNA", at positions 79 to 759 of the family's 1533-position model. Lineage: Bacteria; Bacillati; Bacillota; Bacilli; Caryophanales; Bacillaceae. The record is from RNAcentral.
CUUGCUCCCUUAGGUCAGCGGCGGACGGGUGAGUAACACGUGGGUAACCUGCCUGUAAGACUGGGAUAACUCCGGGAAACCGGGGCUAAUACCGGAUGCUUGAUUGAACCGCAUGGUUCAAUCAUAAAAGGUGGCUUUUAGCUACCACUUACAGAUGGACCCGCGGCGCAUUAGCUAGUUGGUGAGGUAACGGCUCACCAAGGCGACGAUGCGUAGCCGACCUGAGAGGGUGAUCGGCCACACUGGGACUGAGACACGGCCCAGACUCCUACGGGAGGCAGCAGUAGGGAAUCUUCCGCAAUGGACGAAAGUCUGACGGAGCAACGCCGCGUGAGUGAUGAAGGUUUUCGGAUCGUAAAACUCUGUUGUUAGGGAAGAACAAGUACCGUUCGAAUAGGGCGGUACCUUGACGGUACCUAACCAGAAAGCCACGGCUAACUACGUGCCAGCAGCCGCGGUAAUACGUAGGUGGCAAGCGUUGUCCGGAAUUAUUGGGCGUAAAGCGCGCGCAGGCGGUUUCUUAAGUCUGAUGUGAAAGCCCCCGGCUCAACCGGGGAGGGUCAUUGGAAACUGGGGGAACUUGAGUGCAGAAGAGGAGAGUGGAAUUCCACGUGUAGCGGUGAAAUGCGUAGAGAUGUGGAGGAACACCAGUGGCGAAGGCGACUCUCUGGUCUGUAACUGACGCUGAGGCGCGAAAG